Small nucleolar RNA from Camarhynchus parvulus, 64 nucleotides. The record is from Ensembl. NCBI's taxonomy places the organism in Eukaryota, Metazoa, Chordata, Aves, Passeriformes, Thraupidae.
UGGCUAUGAGGAUAACGCUUAAAAUGAAUGGCAGUGAUCACUCAUACGCUAUUCUGAGCCAACA